CCACGGAAUUUAGCAGAGAUGCUUUAGUGCCUUCGGGAACCGUGAGACAGGUGCUGCAUGGCUGUCGUCAGCUCGUGUUGUGAAAUGUUGGGUUAAGUCCCGCAACGAGCGCAACCCUUAUCCUUUGUUGCCAGCGGGUUAUGCCGGGAACUCAAAGGAGACUGCCAGUGAUAAACUGGAGGAAGGUGGGGAUGACGUCAAGUCAUCAUGGCCCUUACGAGUAGGGCUACACACGUGCUACAAUGGCGCAUACAAAGAGAAGCGACCUCGCGAGAGCAAGCGGACCUCAUAAAGUGCGUCGUAGUCCGGAUUGGAGUCUGCAACUCGACUCCAUGAAGUCGGAAUCGCUAGUAAUCGUAGAUCAGAAUGCUACGGUGAAUACGUUCCCGGGCCUUGUACACACCGCCCGUCACACCAUGGGAGUGGGUUGCAAAAGAAGUAGGUAGCUUAACCUUCGGGAGGGCGCUUACCACUUUGUGAUUCAUGACUGGGGUGAAGUCGUAACAAGGUAAGCGUAGUGCU
RNAcentral lists this ribosomal RNA (522 nucleotides) under uncultured bacterium. Its description in RNAcentral is "bacterial SSU rRNA". It matches the Rfam family "Bacterial small subunit ribosomal RNA", at positions 988 to 1509 of the family's 1533-position model. The record is from RNAcentral.